AAUGGGCGCAAGCCUGAUGCAGCCAUGCCGCGUGUAUGAAGAAGGUCCUUCGGGUUGUAAAGUACUUUCAGCAGUGAGGAAGGUGGAUAUGUUAAUAGCAUAUUCAUUUGACGUUAGCUGCAGAAGAAGCACCGGCUAACUCCGUGCCAGCAGCCGCGGUAAUACGGAGGGUGCGAGCGUUAAUCGGAAUUACUGGGCGUAAAGCGCAUGCAGGUGGUUUGUUAAGUCAGAUGUGAAAGCCCGGGGCUCAACCUCGGAAUUGCAUUUGAAACUGGCAAACUAGAGUACUGUAGAGGGGGUAGAAUUUCAGGUGUAGCGGUGAAAUGCGUAGAGAUCUGAAGGAAUACCGGUGGCGAAGGCGGCCCCCUGGACAGAUACUGACACUCAGAUGCGAAAGCGUGGGGAGCAAACAGGAUUAGAUACCCUGGUAG
This 431-nucleotide ribosomal RNA is filed under the name uncultured bacterium. RNAcentral describes it as "bacterial SSU rRNA". It matches the Rfam family "Bacterial small subunit ribosomal RNA", at positions 370 to 793 of the family's 1533-position model. The record is from RNAcentral.